UGGGGAAUAUUGGACAAUGGGCGAAAGCCUGAUCCAGCAAUGCCGCGUGUGUGAAGAAGGUCUUCGGAUCGUAAAACUCUGUUGGUAGAGAAGAACGUUGGUGAGAGUGGAAAGCUCAUCAAGUGACGGUAACUACCCAGAAAGGGACGGCUAACUACGUGCCAA
This 165-nucleotide ribosomal RNA is filed under the name uncultured bacterium. RNAcentral's name for it is "partial 16S ribosomal RNA". It matches the Rfam family "Bacterial small subunit ribosomal RNA", at positions 355 to 511 of the family's 1533-position model. The record is from RNAcentral.